AAUAGCCAUUAAGGGUUUAUAGUGUCCGGCGUAACUCAGGGUACUAUCGAAUUGGAAGAAUUUUCUGAAGUAAAGUGGCAAAUCGGAGUAAUUUGGUGGAAUUAGAGUGGCAAUUGUAAGAUGGGGUGCUUUCGCGUGUACAAAGUCGACGCCAGCGUCGUUACAGAGGAUGUACACGUGGCCAUCGGAAUUAGUGAUCAGACGGCCAGCUAAGGGAGGGAAAUGGGAGAGAGUUUUAGAAAGGGAAAUUUUGAGAUGGGAAAUAAGAUGAGUGGAAGUUAAUUCAGUUGGGGGUUGGGUUAACAAAACACCCUUUUGAAUAUACUGGCAAGAAAGCAUAGGAAGAUCAGAAACAGAGAGUCUUAAGGAAUUAUUAAC
This 378-nucleotide long non-coding RNA is filed under the name Nicotiana tabacum (common tobacco). RNAcentral's name for it is "long non-coding RNA (NTAB_LNC008933)". The record is from RNAcentral. Lineage: Eukaryota; Viridiplantae; Streptophyta; Magnoliopsida; Solanales; Solanaceae.